GAUGAACGCUGGCGGCGUGCCUAAUACAUGCAAGUCGAGCGAACCACUUCGGUGGUGAGCGGCGAACGGGUGAGUAACACGUAGGUGAUCUGCCCAUCAGACGGGGACAACGAUUGGAAACGAUCGCUAAUACCGGAUAGGACGAAAGUUUAAAGGUGCUUCUGGCACCGCUGAUGGAUGAGCCUGCGGCGCAUUAGCUAGUUGGUAGGGUAAAGGCCUACCAAGGCGACGAUGCGUAGCCGACCUGCGAGGGUGAACGGCCACACUGGGACUGAGACACGACCCAGACUCCUACGGGAGGCAGAAGUAGGGAAUCUUCGGCAAUGGGCGAAAGCCUGACCGAGCAACGCCGCGGGAAUGAUGAAGGCCUUCGGGUUGUAAAAUUCUGUUAUAAGGGAAGAACGACUUUAGUAGGAAAUGGCUAGAGUGUGACGGUACCUUAUGAGAAAGCCACGGCUAACUACGUGCCAGCAGCCGCCGUAA
This 483-nucleotide ribosomal RNA is filed under the name uncultured bacterium. RNAcentral describes it as "partial 16S ribosomal RNA". It matches the Rfam family "Bacterial small subunit ribosomal RNA", at positions 28 to 523 of the family's 1533-position model. The record is from RNAcentral.